This 48-nucleotide non-coding RNA is filed under the name Schistosoma mansoni. Lineage: Eukaryota; Metazoa; Platyhelminthes; Trematoda; Strigeidida; Schistosomatidae. The record is from RNAcentral.
AUCCAGCUGACGAGUCCCAAAUAGGACGAAACGCUGAGUGGAUUAUAU